UGGGGAAUAUUGCACAAUGGAGGGAACUCUGAUGCAGCGACGCCGCGUGAACGAAGAAGGCUUUCGAGUCGUAAAGUUCUUUUAUAUGGGAGGUUAAUAACGGUACAAUAAAAAAAAGCCCCGGCUAACUACGUGCAAGCAGCCGCGGUAAUACGUAGGGGGUUAGCGUUGUCCGGAAUCAUUGGGCGUAAAGGGUUCGCAGGCGGAAAUGCAAGUCAGGUGUAAAAGGCAGUAGCUUAACUACUGUAAGCAUUUGAAACUGCAUAUCUUGAGAAGAGUAGAAGUAAGUGGAAUUUUUAGUGUAGCGGUGAAAUGCGUAGAUAUUAAAAAGAAUACCUGUGGCGAAGGCGACUUACUGGGCUCAUUCUGACGCUGAGGAACGAAAGCGUGGGUAGCAAACAGG
RNAcentral lists this ribosomal RNA (403 nucleotides) under Fusobacteriota bacterium. RNAcentral's name for it is "Fusobacteria bacterium partial 16S ribosomal RNA". It matches the Rfam family "Bacterial small subunit ribosomal RNA", at positions 355 to 776 of the family's 1533-position model. The record is from RNAcentral. Lineage: Bacteria; Fusobacteriati; Fusobacteriota.